GACGAACGCUGGCGGCGUGCCUAAUACAUGCAAGUAGAACGCUGAAGGAGGAGCUUGCUCUUCUGGAUGAGUUGCGAACGGGUGAGUAACGCGUAGGUAACCUGCCUGGUAGCGGGGGAUAACUAUUGGAAACGAUAGCUAAUACCGCAUAACAGUAGAUGUUGCAUGACAUUUACUUAAAAGGUGCAAUUGCAUCACUACCAGAUGGACCUGCGUUGUAUUAGCUAGUUGGUGGGGUAACGGCUCACCAAGGCGACGAUACAUAGCCGACCUGAGAGGGUGCUCGGCCACCCUGGGACUGAGACACGGCCCAGACUCCUACGGGAGGCAGCAGUAGGGAAUCUUCGGCAAUGGACGGAAGUCUGACCGAGCAACGCCGCGUGAGUGAAGAAGGUUUUCGGAUCGUAAAGCUCUGUUGUAAGAGAAGAACGAGUGUGAGAGUGGAAAGUUCACACUGUGACGGUAUCUUACCAGAAAGGGACGGCUAACUACGUG
Molecule: ribosomal RNA, 495 nt
Filed under: uncultured bacterium
Lineage: Bacteria
Description: partial 16S ribosomal RNA
Rfam family: Bacterial small subunit ribosomal RNA
Source: RNAcentral